AUUAUCAGAUUCUUUUGAGCAAUUACAACGCCUCCAGUCGUUUCGUCACAUUGAUGGGAUUGUCUGACAACGUACGGAUUAAAAGCGUUUUCCUUGCUCGAAUCAAUGUUCUUCGCCCACGCGGUACAUUCGACCGUAACGAGUUUGUUAGCUGAAAAACAUGAAAAGUGCAACGCAACAAUUGGGGUGAGAUACCCAAUUUGUCCACGAAAUGGGAAAUAGUCUACGGAAAAUCCGGGGUAGGGAAGGUACUCGAUUUCGCCCAAAUUGUCAUUAUCAAAACCAUGUGCACCAGUACAGGAAAUCCAAAGAUACCCCUGUUCGAAAUUAAUGCAUGAAUAAACAGAUUUUAUAAGUCUUUGUAAAUCAUGAGGCAUAUCAGGAGGUAAGGAAGAAUUUUGAUUGUAGUAUUGCGGAAUCCACUCAAAGACCUAUAGUAAAGUGAAUGUUUAUGAGAA
Molecule: long non-coding RNA, 458 nt
Organism: Orussus abietinus
Lineage: Eukaryota; Metazoa; Arthropoda; Insecta; Hymenoptera; Orussidae
Exons: 4
Source: RefSeq, a predicted model, not a curated record